Molecule: ribosomal RNA, 497 nt
Filed under: uncultured bacterium
Lineage: Bacteria
Description: partial 16S ribosomal RNA
Rfam family: Bacterial small subunit ribosomal RNA
Source: RNAcentral
GAUGAACGCUGGCGGCGUGCCUAAUACAUGCAAGUCGAGCGAACGGACGAGAAGCUUGCUUCUCUGAUGUUAGCGGCGGACGGGUGAGUAACACGUGGAUAACCUACCUAUAAGACUGGGAUAACUUCGGGAAACCGGAGCUAAUACCGGAUAAUAUUUUGAACCGCAUGGUUCAAAAGUGAAAGACGGUCUUGCUGUCACUUAUAGAUGGAUCCGCGCUGCAUUAGCUAGUUGGUAAGGUAACGGCUUACCAAGGCAACGAUGCAUAGCCGACCUGAGAGGGUGAUCGGCCACCCUGGAACUGAGACACGGUCCAGACUCCUACGGGAGGCAGCAGUAGGGAAUCUUCCGCAAAGGGCGAAAGCCUGACGGAGCAACGCCGCGUGAGUGAUGAAGGUCUUCGGAUCGGAAAACUCUGUUAUUAGGGAAGAACAUAUGUGUAAGUAACUGUGCACAUCUUGACGGUACCUAAUCAGAAAGCCACGGCUAACUACGUG